Molecule: long non-coding RNA, 565 nt
Organism: Meriones unguiculatus (Mongolian gerbil)
Lineage: Eukaryota; Metazoa; Chordata; Mammalia; Rodentia; Muridae
Exons: 3
Source: RefSeq, a predicted model, not a curated record
GACUGCUGCUGAGGAGGCCAGAAAUAUUAGUCACUGAACAGUAACUGUCACCAAACUCCCUUAGUGCCUGCACCACUUUCCACCCUCAUCUAAGCGGGGAUGAGAGGCGCUGUCUUUGUACUUGGAAAUGUUGGCAUUAUUGUCAUAUUGAUGGUAUGGGGCAGGCAUCCUUGUGAUAAAUAGGAUCUGAAGUAGCCCAGAUGCUACCUACAUUAUGAGAUGAAAGUUCUCAGCUGCUGCUCCAGUCACCAUUUCUGCCCACUCCCUGCUACCUCUGCUUUUCCAUCAUAGACUCCUCUAACCUCUGGAAGUGUAAACCCAAAAUAAACUCUUUCAUCUAUAAGUUGCCUUGGUCAUGAUGUUUUAUUACAGCAACAGAAUGAUAAUCAAUGCAUCAGUCUUGGGACCUGGAGGAAAACAAAGAAGAAACACCACAAAAGAAACUUCUGUAAGUCUUCUGCACUUUCAUCUCCCCUAUUGCCUUUGCUGGUCUUUACAGGCUCGAGAGGUUAGAGGAUGCUAAUUAAAGAAGAUCUUUAAUUGGUGAACAAAUUGCUAUAAAACA